UGGUAUAUUAGUUUUAACGAAAUAGUUUCUUACAAAUUUCACUUUUUUUUCUUUUUUUUUGUAAAAGCAAUUUUUAUUAUUUUCCUUCAAGAAUAACUACAUUUUCAUAAUUUCUUGAUUUAUCAAAUGAAUAAAUGUGUAUUUUCUAAAGUACAACAUUAUAUGACUAUUUUCACUUGUUUCUUGCACAGAUCAACGCUCCAUACUUUUCCUUUUUGGAGAGAUAAAGCUG
This 232-nucleotide long non-coding RNA is filed under the name Brassica napus (rape). Its description in RNAcentral is "long non-coding RNA (BNAP_LNC016164)". Lineage: Eukaryota; Viridiplantae; Streptophyta; Magnoliopsida; Brassicales; Brassicaceae. The record is from RNAcentral.